GACGAACGCUGGCGGCGUGCUUAACACAUGCAAGUCGAACGGAAAGGCCCUGCUUUUGUGGGGUGCUCGAGUGGCGAACGGGUGAGUAACACGUGAGUAACCUGCCCUUGACUUUGGGAUAACUUCAGGAAACUUGGGCUAAUACCGGAUAGGAGCUCCUGCUGCAUGGUGGGGGAUGGAAAGUUUCGGCGGUUGGGGAUGGACUCGCGGCUUAUCAGCUUGUUGGUGGGGUAGUGGCUUACCAAGGCCUUGACGGGUAGCCGGCCUGAGAGGGUGACCGGCCACAUUGGGACUGAGAUACGGCCCAGACGCCUACGGGAGGCAGCAGUGGGGAAUAUUGCACAAUGGGCGGAAGCGUGAUGCAGAAACGCCGGGUGUGGGAUGACGGUCUUCGGGUUGUAAACCGCUUUCGCCUGUGACGAAGCGUGAGUGACGGUAAUGGGUAAAGAAGCACCGGCUAACUACGUG
This 468-nucleotide ribosomal RNA is filed under the name uncultured bacterium. RNAcentral describes it as "partial 16S ribosomal RNA". It matches the Rfam family "Bacterial small subunit ribosomal RNA", at positions 28 to 507 of the family's 1533-position model. The record is from RNAcentral.